UACGAAGGGGGCUAGCGUUGUUCGGAAUUACUGGGCGUAAGGCGCACGUAGGCGGAUACUUAAGUCAGGGGUGAAAUCCCGGGGCUCAACCCCGGAACUGCCUUUGAUACUGGGUAUCUCGAGUCCGGAAGAGGUGAGUGGAAUUCCGAGUGUAGAGGUGAAAUUCGUAGAUAUUCGGAGGAACACCAGUGGCGAAGGCGGCUCACUGGUCCGGUACUGACGCUGAGGUGCGAAAGCGUGGGGAGCAAACAGG
Molecule: ribosomal RNA, 253 nt
Filed under: uncultured bacterium
Lineage: Bacteria
Description: partial 16S ribosomal RNA
Rfam family: Bacterial small subunit ribosomal RNA
Source: RNAcentral